CAACAAGGGUAAACGAAAGGGUAGACGUAUACAGUUUCGGUGUGGUGCUGCUAGAACUAGUAACCGGAAAAGAACCACAAGAAGGAGAUGUUGACACGAAUCUUGCAGAAUGGGAAUGGAAACAUUAUGGUGAAGGGAACUCCAUGGUUGAAGCAUUGGACCCAGAGAUCAUACAAGCUACUUGCUACAUGGAAGAAAUUAGUCUAGUGUUCAAGUUAGGACUAAUAUGCACUAGCACAUUGCCUUCAAGUAUGCCAUCAAUGAAAGAAUUACUUCAAAUUAAAGCCUCUACCACGUUUUAACGUUGAAUUGGCAGAGGAGUUAGAUCCUGGGUACGCUUGUCAUAACUCUACUAAUUGUUGUCACGUCGGUCCUGGAUGGAGGAAGCCAAAUCCUAAAGUCAUAGAAUUUACUGCUGAACAACUAUGUCGGCUUCUUCCUGAUGAAAACCUACGUCGGAUUGUUCCUGCUUCAUCUCAUGUUGAAUCACAGGUUGAACAGCAGGUUGAAAAGACUACGUUUAGUCAGCCGCGAAAGUUUCCAGUUCUUAAGAAGUACAUCGACCGGGGUGCUCAUGGCUAGAGUUAUUAUAUGGUGGUCUUAGUUAUGCAGAAAGUAUUUACCCUU
Long non-coding RNA from Erigeron canadensis, 627 nucleotides. RefSeq lists it as uncharacterized. The record is from RefSeq and is a predicted model, not a curated record. The transcript has 3 exons. Lineage: Eukaryota; Viridiplantae; Streptophyta; Magnoliopsida; Asterales; Asteraceae.